Molecule: RNA transcript, 2376 nt
Organism: Fragaria vesca subsp. vesca
Lineage: Eukaryota; Viridiplantae; Streptophyta; Magnoliopsida; Rosales; Rosaceae
Exons: 18
Source: RefSeq, a predicted model, not a curated record
AUGAAGGUCGCAGCUCAAAUCGGUCAGCUGCUAAACGACACCAUCAGCCCCGAUUGCGCCGCCGUACGUACGGCCACCGAAGCCCUAGACCGCCUCUCUCAGCUCCUCGAUUUCCCUUACUACCUCAUCUCCAUCUCCGCCGGAGGUGAAAAUCAAGGUCAGAAAAUCGCGGCGGCGACGUACUUGAAAAACUUCACUAGGAAAAAUGUUGAAGGAGAUGUGUCGAGUUCGGCACCGAAAGUCAGUAAGGAGUUCAAGGACCAGCUCUUGCGAGAUUUGCUGCAAUCGGAGCCCGCGGUUGUUAAAGUUUUGGUUGAAGUGUUUCGGGUUAUUGUUGUUGCGGAGUUUGUUAAGCAGAAUUGGUGGCCUGAACUUGUUCCUGAUCUGCGAGCCGCUCUUGAGAAUAGUAAUCUUAUUAGUGGCACAAACUCGCAAUGGUACAUGAUCAAUGCCCUGAGAGUUCUUCACGCCCUUGUUUGACCAUUUCAGUAUUUUUUGGAGGCUACAGUUUCUUAAGAGCCAGUACCGCCACAGCUGGAGCUAAUUGCAAAGGAUAUUCAUGUGCCUUUGUUAACAUUAUUCCAUCAAAUCGUUCCAAAAGGUUACAUGGAAACAGAAAAUUUGCUUCUGAUUGUCUGCAAAUGUAUGUAUUUCACUGUGAGGUUGCAUAUGCCAUCUGCUUUAGUGCCUCUUCUACCUUUGUUUUGUCACGAUCUAAUUGGCGUUCUUGAUUCGUUGAGUUUUGACCGCGUGUUAACUCCUGAAAAUGGGUACCAGAUGAGGGUAAAGACUGGAAAAAGAAGUUUGCGCAUUUUCUGUACUCUCAUUACUCGACACUGAAAGUAUUCUGAUAGGUUGAUGCCAGAUAUGAUAAAAUGCGCUCUGAACAUAGUCAAAUACAGCAAGAAUAUCAGCAAAAUUGACUUUUUAUCGAAGAGGGUCCUUUCAUUAUCUUUUGAUGUGAUAUCACACGUUCUUGAAACAGGGCCUGGAUGGAGAUUAGUUUCUCCACAUUUUUCAUAUCUAUUGGAUUCUGCAAUCUUUUUGUCAUUGGUAAUGAAUGAAAAGGAUAUCUCAGAGUGGGAAGAAGACGCAGAGGAGUACACACUGACCUUGAAGAAAUUUCAGGCUGGAGGGAGGAUCUAUUUACAGCCAGAAAAAAUGCUAUAAACUUGCUCGGUGUUAUUUCAGUGUCAAAGGGACCUCAAAUGGGAACUUCUGCUAAUGCCUCAUCAGCUUCAUCAAAACGCAAAAAGGGUGAAAAGAAGCGAAACAAUCAAACUUGUUCAGUUGGAGAACUAGUGGUGCUUCCAUUUCUGUCAAAGUUUCCAAUUCCUUCUGAUGCUAAUCCAUCCCAAACUAGAAUUACUAAUGACUAUUUUGGUGUUUUCAUGGCAUAUGCUGGCUUGCUAGAUUUUCUAAGGGAGUGGGAACCUACAUAUGCAGCAACUUUGGGUUCAAUAUCGGCUACUACCAUUGUAUAAUUUAUCAGUGUGCCCACCGUUGGUUGCCACUGCAAACUGGGUGCUGGGGGAACUGGCAUCGUGUCUACCUGAGGACAUGAGCGCAGAUGCAUGUGUAUUCCUCGUUGCUGAAGGCAUUGGCUAUGCCUGAUAGCAGGGAUACUUCUUGUUAUCCAGUGCGGGUAUGUGUGGCUGCAGCCAUUGUAACACUUCUUGAUAAUGACUGCACAUCACCUGACUGGCUUCCUCUCCUUCAAGUUGUGAUUGGUAGAAUUGCCCGUAACGAGGACGAGAACUCUAUUUUAUUCCAGCUUCUUUGUUCUGUGGAGCAGGCGGGAAAUGAAAAUGUUGCAGCCCAUAUCCCAUAUUAUUUCGUCAUUGGUUGUGGAAAUCUCAAAAUGCAUGCCCCUUGAUCUGGAUCCAUGGCCUCAAAUGGUAGAAAGAGGUUUUGGGGCAUUAGUAGUGAUGGCGCAAAUUUGGGAAAAUGAUACGUCUGAAGAUCUGGAAGAGAAUUAAUCCAACCAUAACUUUCUAUCAGGUCAAGCUACUAUUGGCAGAGCUUUCUCUGAUCUCUUGCAACGGGCUUGGCUUGCACCAAUGCAUCGAUCGGAUCAGGAAGAUAACACUUUGCCACCUCCAUCUUGGCUAGAUUCUGCAUCAAUGUUGCUUUGAUCCAUCAUGCUAUCUGUUUUUUCUCUGUUAACGGAUUUUAAAAAGUAAAAAACAGAAAUCAAACAGUGAUGCCUUCCAUCACUAUUUCUCUGCAACUCGUCGAUCUCCCUUAACUCUUUCUCCGCGUCUCCAGUUCUCCUCCCAUCCUCAAUGGGGUUGUCAUGCCCCCCACUAUAGUUCCAAACCUCUACCUGCUUUGUGGUUCUUCAUCAUCCAUGUGACACCGUAGCUCAACCAUGUC